This is an RNA transcript of Drosophila busckii, 1952 nucleotides long. It is a transcript of the gene named carboxypeptidase D, with no coding region annotated. The record is from RefSeq and is a predicted model, not a curated record. The transcript is spliced from 11 exons. Lineage: Eukaryota; Metazoa; Arthropoda; Insecta; Diptera; Drosophilidae.
UCUGUCUACCAGUCGAGCUUUAACGGCGCUGGCUGACGGACGUGUUUCACUUGCUCUCAAGCCAAACAACAUAGUCACUCUCUCUCUGCUCACUAAGUCACAGUCGCAGCUGCCGAUAGCUUCGCGCUUGUAUCACGCUUAACUUGAAAUCGCCGUCGUCGCAAGCUAACAACUGAAGCUAAAGGUAAACCACAAGUUUACUCAGCUACUAUAACCAUAACAGACUCGACGUCAAACACCAAGCACGCCAUGAUUUUGCGGACUCUCCAGCUGCUGCAAGUGCUGCUGCUGAUCCUCGCCUGCCAGAGCUACAGCGAUGCCAAAAUGGUAAGCACGGACCCAUUGCUGCCAGAGCCACGUGCCUACAUGCCAGAUGCCCAGAACCUUGACUUUGUCUAUCACGACCAUGAAGAGCUGACGCGUUUCCUCAGGGCCACCAGUGCACGUUAUCCCAAUCUCACGGCGCUCUAUUCCAUUGGCAAGUCCAUACAGGGUCGCGACUUGUGGGUCAUGGUGGUGAGCUCAUCGCCGUAUGAGCACAUGGUGGGCAAGCCGGAUGUCAAAUACGUGGGCAAUAUACACGGCAAUGAGCCCGUGGGACGUGAAAUGCUGCUGCAUCUCAUCCAAUAUUUUGUGAGCAGCUACAAUACGGAUCAGUACGUGAAAUGGCUGCUGGAUAAUACACGCAUUCAUAUACUGCCCACCAUGAAUCCGGAUGGCUAUGCUGUCUCCAAAGAGGGCACUUGCGACGGGGGCCAGGGACGCUACAAUGCACGUGGCUUUGAUUUGAAUCGCAAUUUUCCGGACUACUUUAAGCAGAACAAUAAGCGUGGUCAACCGGAAACGGAUGCUGUCAAGGAUUGGAUAUCGAAAAUACAAUUUGUGCUGAGCGGCAGCUUGCAUGGCGGAGCCUUGGUGGCCAGUUAUCCGUACGACAACACGCCCAACUCCAGGCUCCUCAAAGGAAUCUGCCGUUCGUCUGCUCUCUGCGCGAUGUUCCAGACCUAUGCGGCAGCGCCGUCUCUUACGCCAGACGACGAUGUCUUUAAGCAUCUCUCUCUUGUUUAUGCUCGCAACCAUGCCAAGAUGUCACGUGGAGUAGCCUGCAAGUCGGCCACUCCUGCCUUUGAGAACGGCAUUACCAAUGGCGCCGCCUGGUAUCCUUUGACGGGCGGCAUGCAGGAUUACAAUUACGUUUGGUAUGGUUGCAUGGAAAUAACAUUGGAAAUCUCUUGCUGCAAAUUUCCGCCAGCCUAUGAGCUUAAAAAGUAUUGGGAGGACAAUCAGCUGUCGUUGAUUAAAUUUCUGGCCGAGGCACAUCGCGGCGUGCAAGGCUUUGUCUUUGAUCCCGCGGGUAUGCCCAUUGAGCGCGCUUCCAUUAAGAUCAAGGGACGCGAUGUUGGCUUCCAGACAACCAAGUAUGGUGAAUUUUGGCGUAUUCUCUUGCCUGGCUACUACAAGGCCGAGGUCUUUGCCGAGGGCUAUGCGCCGCGUGAAGUUGAGUUUGUUAUUGUGGAGCAGCAUCCCACGUUGCUCAAUGUGACGCUGCAAGCUUCCAAGCAUUUUGUGGGGAGCACGCCCAGGAGCGUGAGAACGACCACGACCACGUCCACUGCUCAGCCCAAGGUGCAUGACAAGCUACAGCUUCCCUCGGACUAGAGCUAUAGCGUGUUUGGACGCUGAUGUUGUGUAAAUAAUUCCAAUUUUAGUUGUUGGUUUUGGUAUUCCUUUGGAGCUUACUGCAUUAGUCUUCCCUUAACAUAACAUGACCAAAAAUAAAGCGCUGAUGUACCUUGACUUAUAAUUUGUUGCAACUUGCAUCGCUUUGUUGACCCUUGCCUCAAAUUUGUUGUGUCUGAACGCAUUGAGGGCGUUGGAGCUGGUGUACCUUCAUUCUAUCGGCCCAUGCAGUCACCGCAGCAGCACUACCGACCAGGCGGUCCGCCGCCACC